UACGGGGGGGGCAAGCGUUGUUCGGAAUUACUGGGCGUAAAGGGCUCGUAGGCGGCCAACUAAGUCAGACGUGAAAUCCCUCGGCUUAACCGGGGAACUGCGUCUGAUACUGGAUGGCUUGAGGUUGGGAGAGGGAUGCGGAAUUCCAGGUGUAGCGGUGAAAUGCGUAGAUAUCUGAAGGAACACCAGUGGCGAAAGCGGCUUCCUGGUCCAGUACCGACGUUCAGGCACGAAAGCGUGGGGAGCAAACAGG
RNAcentral lists this ribosomal RNA (253 nucleotides) under uncultured bacterium. RNAcentral describes it as "partial 16S ribosomal RNA". It matches the Rfam family "Bacterial small subunit ribosomal RNA", at positions 524 to 776 of the family's 1533-position model. The record is from RNAcentral.